GACGAACCGUCCAAACGUUAUUCGGAAUUACUGGGCUUAAAGGGUGCGUAGGCGGCACGGUAAGUUGGGUGUGAAAUCCCUCGGCUCAACCGAGGAACUGCGCCCAAAACUACCGUGCUUGAGGGAGAUAGAGGUGAGCGGAACUUAGGGUGGAGCGGUGAAAUGCGUUGAUAUCCUAAGGAACACCGGUGGCGAAAGCGGCUCACUGGAUCUCUUCUGACGCUGAGGCACGAAAGCUAGGGUAGCGAACGGG
RNAcentral lists this ribosomal RNA (253 nucleotides) under uncultured bacterium. RNAcentral's name for it is "partial 16S ribosomal RNA". It matches the Rfam family "Bacterial small subunit ribosomal RNA", at positions 524 to 776 of the family's 1533-position model. The record is from RNAcentral.